RNAcentral lists this small RNA (71 nucleotides) under Escherichia coli. RNAcentral describes it as "partial RtT sRNA". It matches the Rfam family "RtT RNA", at positions 60 to 130 of the family's 130-position model. From Rfam's summary of the family: This family represents a bacterial cis-regulatory element known as RtT RNA. The exact function of RtT is unknown although it is thought that it may be involved in changing the cellular response in relation to amino acid starvation. RNAcentral also lists the same sequence under 4 other names. The record is from RNAcentral. Lineage: Bacteria; Pseudomonadati; Pseudomonadota; Gammaproteobacteria; Enterobacterales; Enterobacteriaceae.
GAGAGCGUUGCCGCAGGCAACGACCCGAAGGGCGAAGCGCGCAGCGCUGAGUAAUCCUUCCCCCACCACCA